This 490-nucleotide ribosomal RNA is filed under the name uncultured bacterium. Its description in RNAcentral is "bacterial SSU rRNA". It matches the Rfam family "Bacterial small subunit ribosomal RNA", at positions 46 to 525 of the family's 1533-position model. The record is from RNAcentral.
GGAUUAGGCAUGCAAGUCGAACGGUAUGGUGCUUUCGGGCAUCAGAGAGUGGCGAACGGGUGAGUAACACGUAGGUGAUCUACCCUCAAGACGGGGACAACCCAGGGAAACUUGGGCUAAUACCGGAUGAUAGCAGCAGUGAUGUUGUUUAAAAGAUGGCUUUCGGGCUGUCGUUUGGGGAUGAGCCUGCGUCCUAUUAGUUAGUUGGUGGGGUAAUGGCCUACCAAGGCGAUGAUAGAUAGGCGGCCUUAACGGGUGGUCGCCCACACUGGGAUUGAGAUACGGCCCAGACUCCUACGGGAGGCAGCAGUCGAGAAUAGUCUACAAUGGACGAAAGUCUGAUAGUGCGACGCCGCGUGAACGAAGAAUCCCUUCGGGGUGUAAAGUUCUUUUAUAUGUGAGCAAUGCUUUUUAUGUGAAUAGCAUGAGAAGAGAGAUAUUAGCAUAUGAAUAAGCAACGGCUAACUCCGUGCCAGCAGCCGCGGUAAUA